GUUGGGAGGGCAUAGUGUUGGGAGGGCAUAGUGUAGUGUUGGGAGGGCAUAGUGUUGGGAGGGCAUAGUGUAGUGUUGGGAGGGCAUAGUGUAGUGUAGGGAGGGCAUAGUGUAGUGUAGGGAGGGCAUAGUGUUGGGAGGGCAUAGUGUUGGGAGGGCAUAGUGUAGUGUAGGGAGGGCAUAGUGUAGGGAGGGCAUAGUGUAGUGUUGGGAGGGCAUAGUGUAGUGUUGGGAGGGCAUAGUGUAGGGAGGGCAUAGUGUAGUGUUGGGAGGGCAUAGUGUAGGGAGGGCAUAGUGUUGGGAGGGCAUAGUGUUGGGAGGGCAUAGUGUAGUGUAGGGAGGGCAUAGUGUUGGGAGGGCAUAGUGUUGGGAGGGCAUAGUGUAGUGUUGGGAGGGCAUAGUGUAGGGAGGGCAUAGUGUAGUGUUGGGAGUGCAUAGUGUUGGGAGGGCAUAGUGUUGGGAGGGCAUAGUGUAGUGUAGGGAGGGCAUAGUGUAGUGUUGGGAGGGCAUAUUGUAGUGUUGGGAGGGCAUAGUGUAGGGAGGGCAUAGUGUAGGGAGGGCAUAGUGUAGUGUUGGGAGGGCAUAGUGUUGGGAGGGCAUAGUGUAGUGUUGGGAGGGCAUAGUGUUAGGAGGGCAUAGUGUAGAGAGGGCAUAGUGUAGUGUUGGGAGGGCAUAGUGUUGGGAGGGCAUAGUGUAGGGAGGGCAUAGUGUUGGGAGGGCAUAGUGUAGUGUUGGGAGGGCAUAGUGUAGUGUAGGGAGGGCAUAGUGUAGUGUUGGGAGGGCAUAGUGUAGUGUUGGGAGGGCAUAGUGUUGGGAGGGCAUAGUGUAGGGAGGGCAUAGUGUUGGGAGGGCAUAGUGUAGGGGGG
RNAcentral lists this long non-coding RNA (866 nucleotides) under Salmo salar (Atlantic salmon). RNAcentral's name for it is "lncRNA (ENSSSAG00000084659.1)". Lineage: Eukaryota; Metazoa; Chordata; Actinopteri; Salmoniformes; Salmonidae. The record is from RNAcentral.